UCCCGCCUAUAUACCACCGUCGUCAGCUUACCCUGUGAAGGACUCAUAGUAAGCAAGAUUGGCAUAGCCCAAAACGUCAGGUCGAGGUGUAGCGUAUGGAAAGGGAAGAAAUGGGCUACAUUCCCUAACACAGGGAACUACGAAUGAUACACUGAAACAUGUAUCUGAAGGAGGAUUUAGCAGUAAGCAGAAAAAAGAGCGUUCCGCUGAAACCGGCCCUGAAGCGCGCACACACCGCCCGUCACUCUCCCCGAGCUCAUCAACCCCAAAUACUUAAGACCUAAAAACUGCAAAGGGGAGGCAAGUCGUAACAUGGUAAGUGUACCGGAAGGUGCACUUGGAAAAAU
This 347-nucleotide ribosomal RNA is filed under the name Caesio cuning (redbelly yellowtail fusilier). RNAcentral's name for it is "partial 12S ribosomal RNA". It matches the Rfam family "Bacterial small subunit ribosomal RNA", at positions 1033 to 1533 of the family's 1533-position model. Lineage: Eukaryota; Metazoa; Chordata; Actinopteri; Lutjaniformes; Lutjanidae. The record is from RNAcentral.